RNAcentral lists this ribosomal RNA (1557 nucleotides) under Triticum aestivum (bread wheat). RNAcentral describes it as "partial small subunit ribosomal RNA". Lineage: Eukaryota; Viridiplantae; Streptophyta; Magnoliopsida; Poales; Poaceae. The record is from RNAcentral.
AUGGAUCCUCGCCGCCGGCAAAUCCAAGGCAGCCAUGCAUCAAUUGGUUCAUUUGCUGAAGAAAAGCGCUCACAAGUGGAUGCUUCUCAAAUUGGCAACAAGUUAAGAUAUUCAGGCUCACACCUUCCGGAGGAUAUCUGGCGUCAUAUAUGCUACUUUCUGCCACUGAAAGAUGCUGCGCGUGCUGCUUGUGUUUCUCGCGCGUUUCGAAGUUCGUGGAGUUGCCAUCCUAACCUCACCUUCAGUAAGGAAACACUGGGCUACGGUCCUCCUGCAUGGUCCAGAAAAAGAGAAGUGAUGGACUACAUGGAAAAUGCACGUACACAGAGAAAAACAGCAGGAGAUUACAACAGCAGAGUUGACCACAUUCUGAGAAACCACUCAGGCACCGGUGUGAAGACACUCAGCCUUGGAUUCUAUGGUCCUUACAAUGCCAACACCAGCUACUGUCUCGAUGGUUGGCUCCAGAUUGCUGUUACACCAGGCAUAGAAGAACUCAGCCUCAUACUGCAUUCAAAAAGUGAUCAUUUAUCAAAAAAGGCAAUCUACAACUUUCCAUGCCCACUUUUAUCUAAUGGCAGUGGAAACACCAUUCGUGAGCUACACCUUGUAGGUUGCGCCUUCCGCCCCACAGCAGGAUUCGGUUGCAUGAGAAGCCUGACCAGUCUGUAUCUGUGUUGCGUGAACAUCGAGAGCGCUGAGCUGGGGUUCCUUCUAUCCAGUUCUGUUGCUUUGGAGCGAUUGGAACUCACCAGUUGCAGUGAGAUAAUUUCCAUAAAGAUACCUGCCCGGCUGAAGUGCCUCAGCUAUCUGAAGGUGUCCCAGUGUUCCAUGCUGCAAGUGAUUGAAAGCAAAGCCCCAAAUAUCUCCAGUUUUCACUUUGUUGGUGAACAGGUACAGCUAUUUCUUGGAGAAUCAUCGCAGGUGAAGACAAUUUUCAUAUCACAUUCCUGUGUUCUUCAUUAUGCUCGUGCCAUGCUCCCGUCAAGUACGCCAAAUCUUGAAACUCUUAACAUAGUUUCGACUGGUGAGAUGAUCAGUACACCAAUGCUACCAAGCAAAUUCCUCCACCUCAAAUAUUUGACAAUAACUGGAUGGACCAUCGCCACGACCUAUGAUAUUUUCUCGUUGGUUUCGUUUCUUGACGCGUCUCCUUGCCUGGAGACUUUCUGCCUAAACGCAUCAAGGAGACGCCAGAAGCAUGACUCCAUCUUUGAAGAUCCCUCACAUUUGGAGCGGACUCCGGGACACUGCUACGGCAAUCUGAGGCAUGUGAAGAUCACUAGUUUCUGCUCCUCUAAGCUUCUGGUUAAGCUCACAUGUCAUAUUCUUGAGAAUACACCAUCGCUCGAGUGCCUCACACUCGACAUAACUCAUGGUGGGUUGAAGUGUUCUGACAAAAGAUUUAGCAAAUGCUCAGUUGUAAGGAAGGCCACUCUUGUGGAAGCCCCUAAAGCACUCGAGGCUAUCCGUGCUUACAUCGCAGGAAAAGUUCCCUCCACGGCUAAGUUAAUUGUCUUGGAGCCUUGCAACCAAUGUAAUACCGUUGGCAUUUAG